ACCCGCUGAACUUAAGCAUAUCAAUAAGCGGAGGAAAAGAAACCAACAGGGAUUGCCCUAGUAACGGCGAGUGAAGCGGCAACAGCUCAAAUUUGAAAUCUGGCUCUUUUAGAGUCCGAGUUGUAAUUUGCAGAGGGCGCUUUGGCUUUGGCAGCGGUCCAAGUUCCUUGGAACAGGACGUCACAGAGGGUGAGAAUCCCGUACGUGGUCGCUGGCUAUUGCCGUGUAAAGCCCCUUCGACGAGUCGAGUUGUUUGGGAAUGCAGCUCUAAAUGGGAGGUACAUUUCUUCUAAAGCUAAAUAUUGGCCAGAGACCGAUAGCGCACAAGUAGAGUGAUCGAAAGAUGAAAAGCACUUUGGAAAGAGAGUCAAACAGCACGUGAAAUUGUUGAAAGGGAAGCGUUUAUGACCAGACUUGGACUUGGUUAAUCAUCUGGGGUUCUCUCCAGUGCACUUUUCCAGUUCAGGCCAGCAUCAGUUUUCGCCGGGGGAUAAAGGCAGCGGGAAUGUGGCUCUCUUCGGGGAGUGUUAUAGCCCGCUGUGUAAUACCCUGGUGGGGACUGAGGUUCGCGCUUCUGCAAGGAUGCUGGCGUAAUGGUCAU
RNAcentral lists this ribosomal RNA (601 nucleotides) under uncultured fungus. RNAcentral's name for it is "eukaryotic LSU rRNA". It matches the Rfam family "Eukaryotic large subunit ribosomal RNA", at positions 23 to 641 of the family's 3401-position model. Lineage: Eukaryota; Fungi. The record is from RNAcentral.